Molecule: non-coding RNA, 2624 nt
Organism: Microcebus murinus (gray mouse lemur)
Lineage: Eukaryota; Metazoa; Chordata; Mammalia; Primates; Cheirogaleidae
Source: RefSeq, a predicted model, not a curated record
AGCAAUCCACCCGCCUUGGCCUCCUGGAGUGCUAGGAUUACAGGCAUGAGCCACCGCAUCCGACCUGGGUGAAGUUCUUGAUCUCCUGGGUCAACAACCUCUGAAGCUGCUCUCCCCUGGCCCAGUCAGCCACACAAACCAUAUGCUCUGAGGACACGGCUGUGAACACAACGGAUGAGGUCCCGGCUCUCACAGAGAUUAUAUUCUACCUGGGAGAGGCUGAUAAUUAACAAGUGAGAUUUAAGGUGACGCCAGGUAGAAAGGGACAGAUGCAGUGACAAUGAACUGAGAGAGGUUUUUGCCCAGCCUCUGCCUUGGUGACCACUGUGUGAGUUUGUGGGACGCUCUCCCUGGGAGCUGCUUGUUCAUUCUGCAGACACCCAUCAGCCACCUGCUCUGUGCUGUUUCAGGAGAAAGGCCUGUGCUGAAAAUACUCCCCCCACCCCCAUUUGUGGUGGACCUGUGUGAUGCACUGAGCCGUGUCCCCUCCGCACAUCAGAUUUCAGCACCCAAAGUUGGACAGUUCCAUGCCUGCCGCCAGUGUCCUGCAUGGAGCUUGUCUCUGCGUCUUUGCUUUGCUGCUUGGGUUGGAGCCCUUGGCUCAGUGCAGGGACAACCAGGAGGAGCAGUUAACAUCCCCGGGAAACCCUCAACCAAAAGAAGACGCGAAUGCAAAGACUCGGACAUGGGAGUGACUGGCCCAGAGCACAUCUGGGAAGGCACGAGAGCCGGAAGUCAGGUCCUGCGUCUGCCCCAGUGCACCUGCUUCGAACAGCAAGGAUAUGCCUGCUUUGAAUCUCUCAUGCAAGAUAGAUCUUUAUGUCCUGAAAAAUAUUUGGAUGUUGGAAACAGCUAAGAGUAAUUUGGCAUCAACUUUGUCAUGAUUCUUGUAAGAAGUAUUUAUUCAGCGCUGAAUGUUCCAGCCCCCACUGGGUUCUGUGGGUACAGAGAGGAGUUCAGGUUCUAAGAGUCAGAGCCAUCCAGCCAUAGAACUGCCUGCUUCCAGAGAAGAGGACAUUUGGACACAGCAAGAAGGGACUCCAGGGGUGCACAGAGGAAAGACCACGUGAGGACACAGCAAGAGGGCGGCCAUCUGCCAGUCGAGGAGAGGGUCCUCAGAAGGAACCAGCCCUGCUGACACUUUGAUCCUAGACUUCCGGCCUCCAGAACGGCGAGGAAAUAAAUUUCUGUUGUUUAAACCCCCAGCCCGAGGUAUUUUGUCACACUAGCCCUAGAGAACAAAUACAGGUGCUACGGAGAAACAUGACACCGAGUGAGGGAUGCAGAAUGAAGGAAAGCACUGCUGUCUGGGCUACCUCAUUCGAUCCCACAGCAAUAAUCUCGACUGCAUAGACGGGGCAGCUGGAGCUCAGAGAGACUGACUUCCAUCAUGCCACACAGCUGGGGAGCCAUAGUGAUUCCGACUUAGGUCUCUUGAUUCCAAAUUACUUUUGCAUGACACAAUGCUAUGCCGCUUCUGUUUCUGAUUUGAAGGCAGAUGAGCACAAAGAUGAUGCUUUACAGUUUAGAAGUUAUUUUCACAGGUGCUCAUGCAUCUGGCCCCCACAGCAGAUUGUACAGGUAGACGGUCACCUCCUUCUCCUCCUCAUCACGACCAGCUUUGUUCACUGAGGCUGAAGGAAGUGAAAUCGUUGGCCCAGUCUCACAGCAGAUAGUGAAAGUGGAACCAGCCCAGUGAACACACACAGCGGGAACACGCAUGCGUGUUUUCCCUGUAGCUUUCUCAUGCUUUGGGUUCCCAAAGCCGCUGGGGCUGGACGACCAGAGCCCUGUAACUUUUCACUAUCUACUUGACCUUUCGAGUUGUUUCCCAGAAGUGGCGGAAUUUCUGCAAGGAAAGGAGUUGAGAUUCCUUCCUGAUGCCAAGACUCACCAUCCUGUAGCUUCUGAACCGAACAACCUGCCCCAAUGCACAGCCCCUCAUUAAUUUCAACACAACCUGCCCCAAAGCACAUAGCCUCAUUCCUCAGUCUCCUCCCCCUGCCCCUUCUCUUAACAUAAAAAGGUGCCUAAAUUUUAUACUAACUUAAGAUGGCUCUUUGGGACACUAGUCUGCCAUCUUCCUGGAUGAUGGCAGAGCAACUUCCAAGGAGUUGCUCUCCUUGCCCCAACACCUUGUCCUUCUGGCUGUCCUUACUUACUGGCUGUCCUUUGGCGAGUGGACCGAGCUUGGACUGGGUUACAAAAGUAUUGGGGUGGGGGCUGGAACUGAAUUCUACUCCACUGCUCUUUCUAUUUUGUAGGAGGAAAUGUUUUCUCUUCCGUCAAAGCCUUGAUGGGACUCCUGAAAUUUACACGGAGCUGGAAGCCUUGGGUCGCUCUCCUAGACAGACCUCGCCGGAUCCCACGGCGAUCUGCCGGGCGGUCAGAGGCAGGACAGUAUGUCCAAUUCUGAGAAACCCAGCUGGUCAGACCCUCUCCCUCACGACCACCCUACCCAGCUGGGGAUGAGACCCUGCCUGGCCCCUCAAGCCUCCUGCCACUGGAUAAAUUAACCCAGCUGUGGAGAGUUAAUUUGUCUGACUCUAAAGAGCAUUCAAUAAGUGUAAAACAAAACUAAUUGGUUCUCUUCCAUACAAAUUUAAUCAUACCAUAAAAUGUGA